This 641-nucleotide long non-coding RNA is filed under the name Linum usitatissimum (flax). Its description in RNAcentral is "long non-coding RNA (LUSI_LNC006780)". The record is from RNAcentral. Lineage: Eukaryota; Viridiplantae; Streptophyta; Magnoliopsida; Malpighiales; Linaceae.
AAAUCUGACGCACUACUAAACUUUGAAGAAACUUAUAAUUACAUCAUCUAAUUUGGUAUCUUAAAUAAUGUGAGGAAAUUUAGGUAUUUCACAAUUUUUUUUUCAAUUUUAUAAUGUUUUUAGUUUAUGUAUUGCAGGCCGCAGCAGAGGGCCAUGACGGAGGUCAUCUCCUUCGUCCUCAUCCGAUCGGACUUCUCCUCCAUCCUCCGACAAGCGCCCGAUUUCCUUCGCCUUCUGAUCCGCUAUCUCCUCCGACCGGCGACUGAAAACAAUCUCGAGCUCGUAUUUGGAGUUUUCUCUUCGGCGACAAUUGGUUAGAAAACGGGUUGCGGUGACUUCGAUCACAUAGGCUAGAUCUAGAUCGAGAUUGUUAUGGUGAUUAGAUUGAAAUUAGCAUCGGUGAAUGAUAUUUGUUUUAGGAUUGAUGGAGAGUGCGAAUCGGUUGCAGUGGCAGUGUCAUACUCGUAAAACUUAAUUGGAGAAGAUGGCCAGGAAAUCAUCCUUCCUGAUCCCUAAACUUUCUAUAGGUUUUAAUACCCAAAAUAUUCAUAGAUAACAAACGUAAUCCAAUAAUUUUCAACUAAAGUCAGACGCGGCCCAAUGACUUUUCAUGUAAUAAAAAACUGGCCCGAAACAUUUAC